RNAcentral lists this ribosomal RNA (170 nucleotides) under uncultured Clostridium sp. RNAcentral describes it as "partial 16S ribosomal RNA". It matches the Rfam family "Bacterial small subunit ribosomal RNA", at positions 338 to 525 of the family's 1533-position model. Lineage: Bacteria; Bacillati; Bacillota; Clostridia; Eubacteriales; Clostridiaceae. The record is from RNAcentral.
CCUACGGGAGGCAGCAGUGGGGGAUAUUGCACAAUGGAGGAAACUCUGAUGCAGCAACGCCGCGUGAGGGGAGACGGUCUUCGGAUUGUAACCCUUUGUCCUUGGUGACGAUAAUGACGGUAGCCAAGGAGGAAGCUCCGGCUAACUACGUGCCAGCAGCCGCGGUAAUA